Molecule: long non-coding RNA, 1531 nt
Organism: Mesocricetus auratus (golden hamster)
Lineage: Eukaryota; Metazoa; Chordata; Mammalia; Rodentia; Cricetidae
Exons: 4
Source: RefSeq, a predicted model, not a curated record
GGCUCAUGUUCCUCGGUUGGAGCUUUCCUCCAGCAGCCCAGAUACUCAAGUGUGUCCUCUUAAGAACUGGAUGGAAAGCAAACAUAUCCCCAGCCCAUGGAAGGGUGCCACCCAUAUUUAAGGGGAAGUCUGUCACACAGCAGGCCGGCAGUAGUAGAACCCAAAAUCCUAGCCAGAAAUGGAUCCUACUAUCCAACAAGCAUCCUUCCAGACCCCAGAGAGCCCCUGUUCUUUAAGGCAUGACUAUGACAGUUGUCCCCUCCUCCCUCACACAAUUCAGAGCUUGACAAAGGCUGCAAGAGUUCCCAGUGGGACAAGAAGAAGUGGUCAGCUCCCUAUAGAUGGGCUCAUGCGGAGGUGACUCCUUGGAUCAUUUGGGAAACAGGCCUUGGGGAAAGAGUAUCCUAGAAGGGCAUUGUCAUGUCUCAAGUUUGACCAUAUGUACAGCUUGGUAGGAGGAUCACAGACAGAAGCUUCCAGCACGGCAGGCGUUCAAUAUGAGACAGGGGGAUGAAAGGGAUACAAGAUGAAAACAGUGGGUGAGCAUAGAUGCACUGCACAGGGGAAGGAUGUUUGAGGAAUAUUGUGGGAUAUUAAUUCUCGGAUCCUGGGGAUUUGAUUCUUUGGUGAGAGCAAGGACGUGCUCCUGAAUCCGUCCCGGGCGCCUAACAAAUGUCAUGGCUCCAUCUGCUUAGUGGCUAGAGGCACAGGAGGUGGCACAGACAGGCUAGAGUGCUUUUUGAUGAUGUUUUCUUCCCUAAUCUCUAUUUCCUCAGGAGUUCUUGCAAGCUGUCAUGUGUGGGCAAGGUCAGGGAAUUUGAUGUCUCUCAAGUGACACUUAUCCUGGGCAAGGCUACUCCCAAGGGCAAGACAUCGUUAGUCCAGUGUCUUGGGGGAUAAUUUACACUUUGCUAGGGGCUGUGAAGAGACAUCAGAGGCAGUAGGUGCUUGGUAUCUAAAGCAAUUCUUCUAACAGUGAAGAGAUUUCUGAAAUCUCUGAUAACUGACAAGUCUAUGUAACAGAUAACCAAUAAGUGUUCUGAAUCCCAAGUUCCUGACAGAAUGCUAGGAGUCCCUUGAACAACAACCUAGGGGUUAGUGGCUUGAGUCACUCCUCCUUCUACUCAAACAACUUGCUAUCAUCUAAACUAAUUUCCUGAAUCCCUAGAAGAAACAUAUGACAACCUCCCCUAUCUAGACUCAGAUAACUUGAGGUUACCAUGACUUUGCCUUAACUCAGCACCAAGCAAAUCUUUGGACAAUCAGAGAUAGCUAACUUCGCCAUGCCUGAUGGGAAAUGAUCUUCUGUGUAUAUGCUUAUCUUAUUAGUUGCUGAUUAAAACACUAUUGACCAAUAGGGCAGCAAGAUAGGUAGGACUAGGAUAUGAGGAGGAUUCUGAAAAGUGUAGUCAGAGAAGAGUCAUCGUCGUAUGAUCACAGGAAGUGACGUAGCUGGGCAGAAAUUGCCACAAGCUAACCAUAGAGUGUCUGUACAGACAGACAGGAAGUGAAAUAGCUGGGCAGAAUCAGU